ACAGAGGGUGCUAGCGUUGUUCGGAAUUACUGGGCGUAAAGGGCGUGUAGGUUGUACAGUAAGUCGGGUGUGAAAUCCCACGGCUCAACCGUGGAACGGCAUUCGAUACUACUGAACUUGAGUCCAAGAGAGGGAAGUGGAAUUCCCAGUGUAGAAGUGAAAUUCGUAGAUAUUGGGAGGAACACCGGUAGCGAAAGCGACUUCCUGGCUUGGCACUGACACUGAUACGCGAAAGCGUGGGGAGCAAACAG
RNAcentral lists this ribosomal RNA (251 nucleotides) under uncultured prokaryote. RNAcentral's name for it is "partial 16S rRNA". It matches the Rfam family "Bacterial small subunit ribosomal RNA", at positions 525 to 775 of the family's 1533-position model. The record is from RNAcentral.